RNAcentral lists this ribosomal RNA (500 nucleotides) under uncultured bacterium. RNAcentral's name for it is "partial 16S ribosomal RNA". It matches the Rfam family "Bacterial small subunit ribosomal RNA", at positions 30 to 523 of the family's 1533-position model. The record is from RNAcentral.
AUUGAACGCUGGCGGAAUGCUUUACACAUGCAAGUCGAACAGCAGCACGGGGGCAACCCUGGUGGCGAGUGGCGAACGGGUGAGUAAUACAUCGGAACGUGCCCAGUCGUGGGGGAUAACGUAGCGAAAGUUACGCUAAUACCGCAUACGAUCUACGGAUGAAAGCGGGGGACCGUAAGGCCUCGCGCGAUUGGAGCGGCCGAUGUCAGAUUAGGUAGUUGGGGAGGUAAAGGCUCACCAAGCCGACGAUCUGUAGCUGGUCUGAGAGGACGACCAGCCACACUGGGACUGAGACACGGCCCAGACUCCUACGGGAGGCAGCAGUGGGGAAUUUUGGACAAUGGGCGCAAGCCUGAUCCAGCCAUUCCGCAUGCAGGACGAAGGCCUUCGGGUUGUAAACUGCUUUUGUACGGAACGAAAAGGCUCUGGUUAAUACCUGGGGCUCAUGACGGUACCCGCAGAAGAAGCCCCGGCUAACUUCGUGCCAGCCGCCGCCGUAA